Panthera uncia (snow leopard) is the source of this 1109-nucleotide long non-coding RNA. RefSeq lists it as uncharacterized. The transcript is spliced from 3 exons. NCBI's taxonomy places the organism in Eukaryota, Metazoa, Chordata, Mammalia, Carnivora, Felidae. The record is from RefSeq and is a predicted model, not a curated record.
GGCAUAUGCUGAGUAAGUGCUGAUCUGCCCAAUUCUACAGUUCCCUUUCAACAGAGAGAAGGAAGGAUGGGCAAUGAAAAAAUUAUUUCUAUAGUACAGGAAAUGAUGCUUUAGGUUGUAACAGUCAAACAGCCCAUUACAGGAUUGCAUACAGACAUAUGUCAGCAACAGCCAAUAGGAGCAAGCCCUUUAAAGGGUGUCACAGCACAGAGCCAGGUACAAAAACUGCUGCACAGAAAGAAUUAACAAGAUCCCAAACUGAAUGAUCCUCCUUUACAUCUCGUACUGAAACUCUUGGGUGCCUUGGGUUCAUGCCACAACGACUCAAUUCUGAAGUGAGAGUUUUCUGUCUACAGAACUUUCUGAAAACGACAAAUAACCAAAGAUCCACAAUCAACAGAAGUGGCUCCCACGUGUCAGAAACGCUCAAGGACCUCAGUCUUUUCUCUUAAGCCUUCAACUGAUUGGAUGGAGCCCACCCAGAUUAUGGAGGGCCUUCUGCUUUUCUCGAAGUCUAUUGGUUUAAAUAUUAAGCACAUCUAAAAAAUACCUUCACAGUAACAUCUGGCCUUGUGACUGAUGACAUACCCGGGCGCUAUGGCUGAUCGAAGUUGACACAUAAAAUUGACCACCACAGUUCCUCGAAGCAGGGCCUGGGUCUCACUGGACUCUGUGUCCUCAGGGCUGGCCGCUGUGCCCUGCACAGUGGGUGCCCAGGAUGUGGAGGUCCGUGAAGAGGUCAAGUUCAAAAGCUCUCAGAAUGACUUUGGAGAAAGCAAGGGAAGGGAAAGAAUUUUAUGCUCAGCACAGAAGAUCGAACGUGAGUCCGGGAAGCCACUGGGAAUCAUCGAAGAGUUUUUGCUUAGAGAGGUGAACGUGGCAGUGACGUGCAGGGGCCUUGGCAGGUGGCCUCACCUCUCUGGACUCAGACCUUGCUUCCAUGGGAUGGCCAUAAACUGGCUACCUGUAGGCAGGAUCCAGCUUGCAGUCAGGUUUGUUGAUUCAGGUAAAAUUUAUUUUAUUUUAUUUUAUUUUAUUUUUUACUUUUUACUUUUUAAAUGUUUAUUUAAUUUAUUUAUAUUAAUUAAAUGUAUUAUUAAUUUAUUUAA